GAGGGCGGGGCUACGCAGCAUCAUCGGAGCUCGUUUUAUUGUACGGCUGCUGAUGCUGAGAGGUCGCGCUGAGAAAUAUGUAGGACCAUGAUUGCGGAUUUGAGGUUUUGGCACAUCGUGGCGGAUUGUUUUUUAGGUUUUCUCACUACAAGGAUAAUGAGGAAAAGACGGAGCUGGAAACGUCAGUGUAACUUGAAGUGAUGGAUAAUAAGAGUGUUUGAGGAACCCCUACAUCUGACCCAAUGGCAAAG
Molecule: long non-coding RNA, 251 nt
Organism: Cyprinus carpio (common carp)
Lineage: Eukaryota; Metazoa; Chordata; Actinopteri; Cypriniformes; Cyprinidae
Exons: 2
Source: RefSeq, a predicted model, not a curated record